Molecule: long non-coding RNA, 1669 nt
Organism: Ictalurus punctatus (channel catfish)
Lineage: Eukaryota; Metazoa; Chordata; Actinopteri; Siluriformes; Ictaluridae
Source: Ensembl
GAAAAACGCGAUCACGUGACCAAUGAGGCCGCGGGCGCGUUCUAAUUCUAGAAUCAGAACCUACGGACACACUUACAUGUAGGGGUGUGAAAGAGCGCGCGGCGAUAGAAAGUGCAGACUAAAGUUUUCAGUGAAGCCGAACGUUGCAGACGUUUUUCCAUAACUCACGUGCAGAAAUAUCUAAGCAUAAAAAGAGAGAGGAGAGAAAAGGGCUCCUGAGGAGAUCCAGGAUGGAAUGGAAUGAGCAGACUGUGCAGACAAGUACAGAGGACAGUGUAGCAAAGGAGAAGGAGGAAUGUAAGACAGCGGGAGACAUGGGAGAACCAAAGGAAGUGGAAGUCAGCUACGAGUUGGUGGAGGAGGAAGUGCAGUCGGGUUCAGAGGGAGAGCAGCAGCAGGUGCAGAGUGUGCAGACAAGUACAGAGGACAGUGUACCAAAGGAGGAAUGUAAGACAGCGGGAGAAAUGGGAGAACCAAAGGAAGUGGAAGUCAGCUACGAGUCGGUGGAGGAGGAAGUGCAGUCGGGUUCAGAGGGAGAGCAGGUGCAGAGUGUGCAGACAAGUACAGAGGACAGUGUUCCAAAGGAGAGGGAGGAAUGUAAGACAGUGGGGGACAUGGGAGAACCAAAGGAAGUGGAAGUCAGCUACGAGUCGUUGAUGGAGGAAGUGCAGUCGGGUUCAGUGGGAGAGCAGCAGCAGGUGCAGUGUGUGCAGACAAGUACAGAGGACAGUGUUCCAAAGGAGAGGGAGGAAUGUAAGACAGUGGGGGACAUGGGAGAACCAAAGGAAGUGGAAGUCAGCUACGAGUCGUUGAUGGAGGAAGUGCAGUCGGGUUCAGUGGGAGAGCAGCAGCAGGUGCAGAGUGUGCAGACAAGUACAGAGGACAGUGUACCAAAGGAGAUGGAGGAAUGUAAGACGGUGGGAGAAAUGGGAGAACCAAAGGAAGUGGAAAUCAGCUACGAGUCGGUGGAGGAGGAAGUGCAUUCGGGUUCAGAGGGAGAGCAGGUGCAGAGUGUGCAAACAAGUACAGAGGACAGUGUAACAAAGGAGAAGGAGGAAUGUAAGACAGUGGGAGAAAUGGGAGAACCAAAGGAAGUGGAAAUCAGCUACGAGUCGGUGGAGGAGGAAGUGCAGUCGGGUUCAGAGGGAGAGCAGCAGCAGAGUGUGCAGACAAGUACAGAGGACAGUGUACCGAAGGAGGAAUGUAAGACAGUGGGAGACAUGGGAGAACCAAAGGAAGUGGAAGUCAGCUACGAGUCAUUGAUGGAGGACGUGCAGUCGGGUUCAGAGGGAGAGCAGGUGCAGUGUGUGCAGACAAGUACAGAGGACAGCGUACCAAAGGAGAUGGAGGAAUGUAAGACAGUGAGGGACAUGGGAGAACCAAAGAAAGUGGAAAUCAGCUACGAGUCGGUGGAGGAGGAAGUGCAGUCGGGUUCAGUGGGAGAGCAGCAGCAGGUGCAGAGUGUGCAGACAAGUACAGAGGACAGUGUACCAAAGGAGAGGGAGGAAUGUAAGACAGUGGGAGAAAUGGGAGAACCAAAGGAAGUGGAAGUCAGCUAUGAGUCGUUGAUGGAGGAAGUGCAGUCGGGUUCAGAGGGAGAGCAGCAGCAGGUGCAGAGUGUGCAGACAAGUACAGAGGACAGUGUACCAAAGGAGAGGGAGGAAUGUGA